Molecule: RNA transcript, 1190 nt
Organism: Solanum stenotomum
Lineage: Eukaryota; Viridiplantae; Streptophyta; Magnoliopsida; Solanales; Solanaceae
Gene name: protein DEHYDRATION-INDUCED 19 homolog 5-like
Exons: 6
Source: RefSeq, a predicted model, not a curated record
AACACAAUAUCCCAUCAUCUUUGUUCUUAGAAGCUUAACAAAAGCAGCCACACUUCUUUCAUCUUAAAUCUUGGAAACCAUCUGUUGUUAUUUUGUUUGUUUGAUUUAGGUAUCUUAUUCAACAAAAUCUGAAAACCUCUAUAUUCUUUGCUUCAAUUACAAGAAGAAGCUGACUAAUACAACUUUGAUAAAUUCAAGAAAAAGAGAGAAAUUUGGAAAAAUGGAUGUGGACUUUUGGGCUGCAAGAAUAAAUUCAGCAAGGCAUAAUCUCUCUGCUGUACAAACAAACAGGCUCAGCAAUUAUGAUAGUCUCUCAAAUGUGGAUAAUACUGAAGGAGAAGAGGAUGUAAGAGCCUGGUUCCCCUGCCCUUUCUGUUAUGUUGAAAUUGAAGUCCAGAUGCUUUGCAACCAUUUGCAAGAAGAGCAUUGCUUUGACUUUAAAAACGCGGUUUGUCCCAUAUGUGCUGCAACAUUAGGUAAAGAUCCUCUGGGCCAUUUUAUGGUACAGCAUGCACAAUCAGUCAAGAGGAAGAGAAAGUACCUGAAGUCAGGCUUCUGGAAUAAUACAACAGCAAUAAGUGGCAAGGACCCCCACGAAGUAAAUUCGUUCUUCUGCACAAAUUUAGGGGUUGGUCGUUACAAUGUGCCAGAACCUGCUCCUGAUCCCCUUCUGCUGCCAUUUCUAUGUAGUGUGGCUCCUUCUGAUCCUAAAGACGGUCCACAAGAUAACUCUCUUGGCAGUGUUGCUGCCACUCCUGAUGUAGAAAGUUGUCACUGGAAUGAACAGAGAAUCUAUGUAGGUGGUGUUCUUUCCUUCUUUCUCGACCCAAAGCAAGUCAACUUCUUGAGAAACCAAUGUAUGCCAUUCAACGUAGAUUCAGCUUCUUUCUGGUGUAUCAUGUUUAGUACCCCAUCAUGUUGAAGUUUGGACUUAUCGUCUUUGGCAUACAAGAAGACAGUGAUGAAAAGGCAGUGAUGAACACAUUAAACAUAUGAAAUAAAGCAGCAAAAUGCCAGUAUGUGAUCCCGCCCUGGAAGAACAGUAUGAAGAGAAAAGGCAAAGAGCUGCGUUUCUUCAAGAGCUUAUUGCUUCAACUAUCUUCUAAGAUGUUCAUGACCAGACGGAGGAUCAACCCAACCAAGAGAACAGCUUUUUAGAACAUAUGUAUGAGAAUAAUGGUUCACGGGAA